UCCGUUUUGUCACCGGCAGUCUCCCUAGAGUUCCCGGCUUGACCCGCUGGCAACUAGGGACAAGGGUUGCGCUCGUUGCGGGACUUAACCCAACAUCUCACGACACGAGCUGACGACAGCCAUGCACCACCUGUGCACUGGCCCCGAAGGGCUGCCGUAUUUCUACGACAUUCCAGUGCAUGUCAAGGCCAGGUAAGGUUCUUCGCGUUGCAUCGAAUUGAGCCACAUACUCCACCGCUUGUGCAGGCCCCCGUCAAUUUCUUUGAGUUUUAAUCUUGCGACCGUACUUCCCAGGCGGCACGUUUAACGCGUUGGCUACGCCACAAAAGGGGUCGACUCCUUUUACAGCAAACGUGCACCGUUUACAGCUAGGACUAC
This 378-nucleotide unclassified non-coding RNA is filed under the name uncultured Verrucomicrobiae bacterium. Its description in RNAcentral is "contains 16S-23S intergenic spacer region". The record is from RNAcentral. Lineage: Bacteria; Pseudomonadati; Verrucomicrobiota; Verrucomicrobiia.